Long non-coding RNA from Chiroxiphia lanceolata (lance-tailed manakin), 718 nucleotides. RefSeq lists it as uncharacterized. Lineage: Eukaryota; Metazoa; Chordata; Aves; Passeriformes; Pipridae. The record is from RefSeq and is a predicted model, not a curated record. The transcript has 3 exons.
ACAAGCCCUGGCACUGCUAAAUCUACUCCUGCGUCUGGAAAAAUCCGUAACUUCUGUGAACCACCCAUUCAGCAGUUCCACCCCCGGCACUGAAUGGAUGAGCCCUGGCACAGGGAGUAUUGGAUGGCGUCAGGCAGCGAGGGAAGCUCUGGCAGUGCAACUCUUGCACAAAGGUCAAGAUACCACUAACCAAAGCGAAGGCCUGCUGCUGAACUGCCUCAGACCACACGGCCUCUUAAAAGACAGUCAACUUGCUCAUCUUUCCUUUGAGUAAAUGAAGUUAUGGAUACUUAUAAAAAGGUUUCAGAGUCACGGACAAUGCUGAGCAGCCGUGUGUGUAACAGUUGCAGACGAAAGGUACAAUUAGUCUAAUGUGGGCACCAAAACAGAGAAAAGGAUGAUCAGGAAAAUGAAAGAGGAGAAUGCAAGCAAGCGUUCGGUGACAGAAGAAAAUCAUCAGCCUUGGCUGAUACCACCAGACAAGAAGAGGCCAAUGCCAUUUGGAAAAUAAUGACAUGGCCUCAAGAGAGGUGUGUGUAUGUGCGUGUGAAAUAAGCACUAAAAGAAAAUGAGCCUUGCUGUACUAAUUGGCCUUGCACUUUCCCUGUAAUUUCUCAUGAGUUCCCUGUUCUCCUCUAAUCAUCCACACUCAUGAGUACUUCCCCAUUUAGUUAUCUCCUUACAACUGCUAAUUUGAUGCUAUAUAAUUAAUUUUACA